GCUUACUGAAGAUGACCUUAGAGGAAAGACGCAAAGAAUACCUAAGGGACUACGUUCCCCUGAACACUAUUCUAUCGUGGAAGGAGGAAGUGAAGGGCAAGAGCCAAAAUGAUGGAUGCAUCUCUAAUGGUUGAAGAAGUGGUGGAGGACAACAUGGAGAGAGUGCCUGAGGAUCCUUGCCUGGGACAAUUUAUGGGAAGAAAAAUCUUACAGCUUGGUUACAAUGAAAAGACCUCUUUUAUCUCAUCUUGUCUUCCAAUUCAUUUUUUAUCAAGAAAUUCUCAUUGAAGACUCCUUGAGAAGAGUCUGUUUUGAAGAAGGAAAGGGAAAUACUGUUGAGACAAGAAGGCAAACAGAGCAAAAAAGUGAUAGAAACAUAUAUUUUUUAUUGUGUGCCAAUAGGACUUCACAGAAUGAACAUGGAGAGCUGAGAAGGAAGAAAAUUAAGAAAUGACCGAAUUUCGUGGGUCCUGAUGGAAAAAUGUUGGCCGUCUACUAAAGCAGAAAGGCAGUUGAUGCUUUAGUUCCAGGAUUCUCUGUCUGCUGUGUGUAGUUAUCAUAAACUGUUUUCACUUUCAUAAUCAAUCCUUUGUCCUCUGAGAGUGAUGGUACUCUUGCCUCUUUUUGAGCAGUACUUCAAAAGAUGAAUGAAAAUACAGUCUGCCAAAACCUAAAAAGUACAUUUAUUUAUCAUAGAACUUUGCAAGGUACCCCUCUUGUUUUUAAAAUUCUGUAGAGCUCAAAACCAACCACUCAUUGUAGAGUUUUUUUAAAUCAAUAAAUAUAUUUUCAAGAUGAA
Molecule: long non-coding RNA, 799 nt
Organism: Myotis davidii
Lineage: Eukaryota; Metazoa; Chordata; Mammalia; Chiroptera; Vespertilionidae
Exons: 3
Source: RefSeq, a predicted model, not a curated record